Dermochelys coriacea (leatherback sea turtle) is the source of this 2221-nucleotide long non-coding RNA. RefSeq lists it as uncharacterized. The transcript is spliced from 3 exons. The record is from RefSeq and is a predicted model, not a curated record. NCBI's taxonomy places the organism in Eukaryota, Metazoa, Chordata, Testudines, Dermochelyidae.
UGGGAAGGGCUAGUUACCUGAGAGGAAGGUACCUGAAGUAGAGCACUGUUGGGGAAGGGCAAGCAGAGCUGGGGAGCUCCAGCCUGGUAAACCUCCAGGCUGCAGGCCUUGGUGAAGGCCUAUAAAGUGGCCCCAGAUGACAGGACACCAGGACCAUCAAUCAAGAGAUAUUUGGGGUUUCUUUAGCGCUUGUCAUAGUCUCAGUGUCAGCAAGUGCUCUACAAAGUCACGAGUCAGACACCAGCAGCAACUGUGCAAGGCAAUAUAGCAACUGUACUGCACUCAGCAGCCCUCACACACAGACUGGGGCAGCGUAAGGGGAUGCCAUCAGCUCUAUAAGUAAUAAGCCCUUCCAUCAUGACAGCUUAUUAGAGAUGGGCAGAAACUGACUCCUCGCUGAAGAAUAGAAGUCAAAGCAAUAACCCACCAGUGUAAUGGAGCUAUCGCGCAGUAUCCAGAUUACCUCCAGAAUCUCCUCCUGACUACGGCUGCAAACAUAAUACCAGUCAUGGAUCAGGGAACAGACAAGUUUGUAACCCAAGAGAUUCAACCUCUUGCAAUAUGGAGUGACCCUGGGGGCAGAGCCUCAGAGGAGUUUGGAGAUGGGCCUGAAUGUUCCUGCUUGGCUAAGUUGCUUUCCCUUUGCCUCCAAGUUUUCUUUCCUUUUCUACUUUAUACACAAAUUCAGGACAUAACCCAGAGAGAGACAGAGAGGCUCUCAGUCAGCCCAGAACAGUCAUCACACUCUCAUGGCCAGUGGGAAAGUCAACUGGUGGUUCUCAGUCUAGUGUCCAGAUGUCUACAGUACCAACUGCCCCCAUUUUGUGACCUAUUGCCCCUCUUGGUGGGUAUCGCUGCACCAUAGCAUGGAAUCUGAACUCCCUCACAUUCCAAGAGGUCCACAUCUUGGGUGACAAGGGAGAGACAAUAGAAAGGGGGAGUGAAGGAAGCUUGCCUUGCUGUUGGUUGUGAUGGUCUUGUCCUGGGGACAUCAGUGUCUGGCACCAGACUGUGCACACACUUAUGAAGCAUACGAUUUUGAAUUGAAAGAGACUUAGGAUCAACUUGCUCAUUCCCUUCUGAUGCAGCCUGAUUUCCUCUACAGUGUGGUUGGACAGGCACGUGUAAACAGGAAUCUGGGAGUGAAAACCUGUGAAGAACAGGUUUCCUUUGACCUUUCAAGGAAUCUAACCCCUCUGCCUGCUCUGUUACCUCACAAUAAUAUAUUGUACAAAAUGUGUGGUUUUUUUUUUUUUAAAAGGAAAUACAUUAGAAUGGGUGAGUCCACAGAAGCCAUGGAAAGAAAUGGGGGCUGCUGUCCUUGGUUCUGAACUAGAUGGGACAUGGAACAGUACUGAGGAGACACGGGAUGAUUAUUCACUAACCCUGAGCUUUUGCCGAGCCUCAUGGAGCCCAGAGGAUAGUAUUCUACAGAACUUCCCCAGACUCUGACAAGUAACUUUUAUUAGGUUUUUCUAAAGAUAACCCAUAUGUUUUUCCAGAGGGCUUCUACAGAAAAUGUUCUAUAACAAAGUUACAAUUUGCUGCAGGUUUCAGACUCUUCAGCAGAGGAAGCCACUGGACUCAGUCCAUGUGAGAAUCUGAGGAGACUAUCACCUAAAGGGCUGAUUUCCUUUGGAAAGAAAAGACAACUCCCUUUACUUUUCACUAAGAUUAGUUCUCAAGACAGUGCGUCUUGGUUGCCUCCUGGUACCCUCUCACCAAGGCACUUUCUUGCCUGUGGAAUUAGUCCUCUGACCUGCCCACAGAAUCCCAGAUGGGAAUCACACUAGGGCAUUAUGCAGUCAUAGCAGCAUCUUCUCCAGGACAACCUGCUUCCUGUGUUGUGGGACUGGCACUGCAGCCAGUAGUCAGUGUUAAGAACCCAGUGAAAACCUGUUCAGUUCUCCCUCUUGGGGCCAGUCUCACAACCCAAGAACAAAAAGACAAUGGAAUUAAAGGGCAGCAGGUUCAGUGCAAUGAAGAGGCUAGGGGGGGAUGUAAAAUAGUGAAUGUACUGCAUUACAUGAGUCAUUCCAGCUUCCUCUAAAGCUUCAGGGACUGGCCAUGCCCAGGGCAAGAUACUAGAAUUACUGGACCAAUUAUCUGGUGUGAAACUCUUAACACUUGCUCUUGAUGGGACCUAAUCUUCAGUGUACAUCAAGCAUCACCUUGGAUUUUAAUUUCCUUCCUUUGCUUUAAUUGUGUAGUACCCAUGCUA